This 478-nucleotide ribosomal RNA is filed under the name uncultured bacterium. Its description in RNAcentral is "partial 16S ribosomal RNA". It matches the Rfam family "Bacterial small subunit ribosomal RNA", at positions 28 to 523 of the family's 1533-position model. The record is from RNAcentral.
GACGAACGCUGGCGGCGUGCUUAACACAUGCAAGUCGAACGGUAAGGCCCUUCGGGGUACACGAGUGGCGAACGGGUGAGUAACACGUGGGUGAUCUGCCCUGCCCUUCGGGAUAAGCCUGGGAAACUGGGUCUAAUACCGGAUAGGACCACUGCCUGCAUGGGUGGUGGUGGAAAGCUUUUGCGGUGUGGGAUGGGCCCGCGGCCUAUCAGCUUGUGGGUGGGGUGAUGGCCUACCAAGGCGACGACGGGUAGCCGGCCUAAGAGGGUGACCGGCCACAAUGGGACUGAGAUACGGCCCAGACCCCUACGGGAGGCAGCAGUGGGGAAUAUUGAACAAUGGGCGCAAGCCUGAUGCAGCGACGCCGCGUGAGGGAUGACGGCCUUCGGGUUGUAAACCUCUUUCAGCACCGACGAAGCGCAAGUGACGGUAGGUGCAGAAGAAGGACCGGCCAACUACGUGCCAGCAGCCGCGGUAA